GGGGGGGGGGGGGGGGGGGGGGGGGGGAGGCGGGGCGGGGGGGAGGGCGCGGGUUGCGGGGUGCGCGGGGGGCGAACGGGGGAGUAACACGUGGGUGAUCUGCCCCGUACUGUGGGAUAAGCCUGGGAAACUGGGUCUAAUACUGGAUAGGACCAUGCUGUAGGUGGUGUGGUGGAAAGAUUAGUUUCGGUAAGGGAUGAGCUCGCGGCCUAUCAGCUUGUUGGUGGGGUAAUGGCCUACCAAGGCGUCGACGGGUAGCCGGCCUGAGAGGGUGGACGGCCACAUUGGGACUGAGAUACGGCCCAGACGCCUACGGGAGGCAGCAGUGGGGAAUAUUGCACAAUGGGCGCAAGCCUGAUGCAGCGACGCCGCGUGGGGGAUGACGGCCUUCGGGUUGUAAACUCCUUUCAGCCAUGACGAAGCCCUUGUGGUGACGGUAGUGGUAGAAGAAGCACCGGCUAACUACGUG
This 469-nucleotide ribosomal RNA is filed under the name uncultured bacterium. RNAcentral describes it as "partial 16S ribosomal RNA". The stretch from base 49 to 469 matches the Rfam family "Bacterial small subunit ribosomal RNA", at positions 39 to 507 of the family's 1533-position model. The record is from RNAcentral.